This 447-nucleotide ribosomal RNA is filed under the name uncultured bacterium. RNAcentral describes it as "bacterial SSU rRNA". It matches the Rfam family "Bacterial small subunit ribosomal RNA", at positions 329 to 792 of the family's 1533-position model. The record is from RNAcentral.
UGCCAGACUCCUACGGGAGGCAGCAGUCGGGAAUAUUGCACAAUGGAGGAAACUCUGAUGCAGUGACACCGCGUAUAGGAAGAAGGUUUUCGGAUUGUAAACUAUUUUAGACGGGGAAGAAAAAAGACAGUACCUGUAGAAUAAGCUCCGGCUAACUACGUGCCAGCAGCCGCGGUAAUACGUAGGGAGCAAGCGUUAUCCGGAAUUAUUGGGUGUAAAGGGUGCGUAGACGGGACAGCAAGUUAGUUGUGAAAUCCUAUGGCUUAACCAUAGAACUGCAUUUGAAACUGUUAUUCUAGAGUAUGGGAGAGGUAGGUGGAAUUCUUGGUGUAGGGGUAAAAUCCGUAGAGAUCAAGAGGAAUACUCAUUGCGAAGGCGACCUGCUAGAACAUAACUGACGCUGAUGCGCGAAAGCGUGGGGAGCAAACAGGAUUAGAUACCCCAGUA